This 525-nucleotide long non-coding RNA is filed under the name Gallus gallus (chicken). Its description in RNAcentral is "long non-coding RNA NONGGAT008755". Lineage: Eukaryota; Metazoa; Chordata; Aves; Galliformes; Phasianidae. The record is from RNAcentral.
CUUUAUUACAGCAAGCAAUUGAUUACAAGGAAGACGUACACUACAGACCAUCGCUAUGACUGCCUGCAGGCUGGGUGCAGUUCACCUUUACCGUCAGACAGCACGUUUCCUACAGCAGUGGGACUGACUGAAGCGCACCACGAUCCCGAUCCUGCUCACACUAAGGUGCUGAGGGCUUAGCAGCUGGGUGCAGUGACAGCAAAAACAGAUCCCAAUUACUCAAACGAUGCACUUGUGAAUGCAACACUUCGAUGACAAUUUCAGACUGAGACAUGAGGCGGGCGUGUGUCAGUGUAAAAGAGUGGAUUAGGCAGGCUUGCUUCCGUCUGGGCUGGAGACACACGUAUGCAUAAUUGAUUCCUGACAUCUUCUUCUCCCCCAUGCUGUCCCCACGAGGCCACCCCUGUCCAGCUAUGUAUGAAUGAACAGAAGUGUCUUUCAUCCCCCACUUGCUUCCCGGUUCAAAAGGAACUACAAAAAUAGCAGCAACAAAAAUCCAGCAGCCUGCCAAAAGGCCUGCACACG